This 497-nucleotide ribosomal RNA is filed under the name uncultured bacterium. RNAcentral's name for it is "partial 16S ribosomal RNA". It matches the Rfam family "Bacterial small subunit ribosomal RNA", at positions 28 to 507 of the family's 1533-position model. The record is from RNAcentral.
GACGAACGCUGGCGGCGUGCCUAAUACAGGCAAGUCGAACGCUGAAGAGAGGAGCUUACUCUUCUUGGAUGAGUUGCGAACGGGUGAGUAACGCGUAGGUAACCGGCCUUGUAGCGGGGGAUAACUAUUGGAAACGAUAGCUAAUACCGCAUAACAAUGGAUGACACAUGUCAUUUAUUUGAAAGGGGCAAUUGCUCCACUACAAGAUGGACUUGCGUUGUAUUAGCUAGUAGGUGAGGUAAUGGCUCACCUAGGCGACGAUACAUAGCCGACCUGAGAGGGUGAUCGGCCACACUGGGACUGAGACACGGCCCAGACUCCUACGGGAGGCAGCAGUAGGGAAUCUUCGGCAAUGGGGGCAACCCUGACCGAGCAACGCCGCGUGAGUGAAGAAGGUUUUCGGAUCGUAAAGCUCUGUUGUAAGUCAAGAACGGGUGUGAGAGUGGAAAGUUCACACUGUGACGGUAGCUUACCAGAAAGGGACGGCUAACUACGUG